Molecule: ribosomal RNA, 554 nt
Filed under: Nylanderia vividula
Lineage: Eukaryota; Metazoa; Arthropoda; Insecta; Hymenoptera; Formicidae
Description: eukaryotic LSU rRNA
Rfam family: Bacterial large subunit ribosomal RNA (bases 1-77)
Source: RNAcentral
GACCGAUAGCGAACAAGUACCGUGAGGGANAGUUGAAAAGAACUUUGAAGAGAGAGUUCAAGAGUACGUGAAACCGUUCAGGGGUAAACCUAAGAAACCCAAAAGAUCGAACGGGGAGAUUCAUCGUCAGCGGCGCUGGCUUCGCGUCGGUCGGCGAUGUCCCGCGGAGUCCUUGCGGCUCGCGCGCGGGCACGCUACCGUGCGCCGAUGUCCGGCGCUCGUCGUCGUGCACUUCUCCCCAAGUAGAACGUCGCGACCCGCUGGGUGUCGGUCUACGGCCCGGGUGCGGUGUCUGUCGCGUCGCCGGUAAAACGGCACGCGACAAACCCUCGGUCGCCCGGCCGGCUGCUCGGCGGUACGCGCAAGGUAUCAGGCCGCACUAUUCACGGUGCGUCGAGACCGUCGCAAGCGCGCGCCACGGUACUCGGAGGUUACGGACUUCGCGCCGUCCCCGGUCCUGGCCCGCUGUUGGUUACAGUACGGUACACCUUCGACAGGCCUGCGAACGUCUCCCGCGGUCUUCGCGGGAGACCGAUACCGGUCGGCGACGCUAC